UGCGCAGGCGGUUGAUUAAGACAGGCGUGAAAUCCCCGGGCUUAAUCUGGGAACUGCGCUUGUGACUGGUCAGCUAGAGUACGGCAGAGGGGGGUGGGAAUUCCACGUGUAGCAGUGAAAUGCGUAGAGAUGUGGAGGAACACCGAUGGCGAAGGCAGCCCCCUCGGGCCGGAUACUGACGCUCAUGCAGAAAGCGUGGGUAGCAAACA
Molecule: ribosomal RNA, 209 nt
Filed under: uncultured bacterium
Lineage: Bacteria
Description: partial 16S ribosomal RNA
Rfam family: Bacterial small subunit ribosomal RNA
Source: RNAcentral